UACGUAGGGUGCAAGCGUUGUCCGGAAUUAUUGGGCGUAAAGAGCUCGUAGGCGGUCUGUCGCGUCUGCUGUGAAAAUCCAGGGCUCAACCCUGGACCUGCAGUGGGUACGGGCAGACUAGAGUGCGGUAGGGGAGAUCGGAAUUCCUGGUGUAGCGGUGGAAUGCGCAGAUAUCAGGAGGAACACCGAUGGCGAAGGCAGGUCUCUGGGCCACUACUGACGCUGAGAAGCGAAAGCAUGGGGAGCGAACAGG
This 253-nucleotide ribosomal RNA is filed under the name uncultured bacterium. Its description in RNAcentral is "partial 16S ribosomal RNA". It matches the Rfam family "Bacterial small subunit ribosomal RNA", at positions 524 to 776 of the family's 1533-position model. The record is from RNAcentral.